This is a long non-coding RNA of Gorilla gorilla gorilla (western lowland gorilla), 2155 nucleotides long. RefSeq lists it as uncharacterized. The transcript is spliced from 3 exons. NCBI's taxonomy places the organism in Eukaryota, Metazoa, Chordata, Mammalia, Primates, Hominidae. The record is from RefSeq and is a predicted model, not a curated record.
GUAGUUGCUGGGGGUCCCUAGGCCGGGCCCCAGGACCUCUAGGAAAUGCCGGGGGCUGUUUGCUGCGGCUUCAUCCCGGAGCUCCUGCUCGGGGUUGCCGGCUGCCUCUGCUGGCGUCCCUCUUCCCUUCCUUUGCGUAAGCGGCAACUCCUCCAGGAAGCCAGUGGAAGGACGGGAUUUCCUCUCCACGUAGGGUAGUAGAUCGCAUAGCCCAGCCGGAUCGCCCAGCAGGAGUGCAGGGCGCGCGUCGGGGUUUCUCCGGCUUGUGGGUGUGCGGUUCGAAACCUUAGCUGGGGUGGGGGAAGGGAUGUCUUUAACUUUCUGUCUACCCUCCCCCUCUUCCCUCUCUCAGCUUAGAGGCAGGGGAUGCUGCGGGAUCAGACUGGGUACACCGAGGCGGAGGGCCAUGCCGGGCUUCGCCCUUCCUGGGUUUCCCGGAGUCCGUUCCGGAGAAACCCUGGCAUUGCCAGAACUGGGUCCCCGCACUCACUCCUCCAUAAUUCGCGGCGGAUCAGCGGGAGGAGGGCAGAGGGCGGGGGCGAGGCAGCUUCCUGGCGGGUGUGGCGCAAAGUGCGCGGACCCGGGUCCUGGACUGAAGAUUUAGCCCAGGGUUUCGUGUGUGUUGCUCCCUGUUGCUUUCUACGGGGUCUGCGCUGGCCUCCUCCUCGGGCGACUGGGCCCUGAGGCAACAGCGCCUUCUCGAGCCCCGAGGAUUGACCGCCCCGAGCCUGCCUGGAGCAGGGCCUCUCUCCAGCGCGGUGUGAUGAAACACCAGCUGCUGUGAAGAUACACCCUUAGAAACGAACCGUCUGUUAAUAUGGAAAAAAACCAUUCUUCCAGGAGAGGCUCCUCCAAGCAAACUUCCCCUUACAUCUCUUACCAGAACUGGGUCACAUGCUCCCAUCUAAAACAACCACUGGCCAUUAGAAAUGGUGUUACCAUGCCUGUCUUGGACCAAUCACAUUUGAUCCUCUGGGGAUAGAGACAUGUUGCCACCUGAACAACUGUGGGGUGCUGUACUCCUGGGAAGCAGGGAGAAUGGCUGUGGCUAGGCAACUGACAGCAUCUACCACAAAUAUGUUACUCAGAAGAAGACUCGAGGAUGGCCAUAAUUUUUAUUUAAAGAUUUCUAUUUUACAGAGGCAUAUCUGAUUAAGGGACAUUUAAACUUCCCUGUUAAACUUAUCAAGACAAAAAGACAAGGCAUCUUGCCACAUUUCUUAAAUAUUCUCUGCAGUCUCUCUUGACCUUUUCCCAGCUGUGCUGUAAACAUAAAGAUAAUAACAUAUCUGAAUAACAUUUUAUGGUGCACAGAUAAUUUUCACAUACAUUAUCCAUUUGACCCUCACCAUAACUGUAUGGGGUAGGUAAGGUACGAUUGUACUUUUCAUUAAUUUUUUUUUUUUUUUUUUGAGACAGAGUCUCGUUCUGUCACCCAGGCUAGAGUGCAGUGGUGCGAUCUGGGCUCACUGCAACCUCCACCUCCCAGGUUCAAGUGAUUCUCCUGCCUCAGCCUCCAAGUAGCUGGGAUUACAGGCAAGCGCCACCAUGCCUGGCUAGUUUUUGUAUUUUUUUAGUAGAGACGGGGUUUCACCAUGUUGGCCAGGCUGGUCUAGAACUCCUGACCUCAGGUGAUCCACAUGCCUCGGCCUCCCAAAGUGCUGGGGUUACAGGCAUGAGCCUCUGCUCCUGGCCACUUUUCAUUAAUUUUUAUUGGAUUUAGGAUUAGAAGGAUGAGCAAAUCCUACUACUUAGUGCGUGGAAUACUGGCAUCUAUUGUUUUUGCUUGGCUCCUCUCUUGUUUUAAUAAUUAACUAAUCGAUCCAUUCUUUUUUAUUGCCAUCUCCCACUCACACUUUUUCCUCCACAUAGGCAAUCAUUCUAAAUAUGUCCAAUGUUUAUCUUAUUUGUAUGCGUAUUUAUAAAGUGAAUAUUUUGUUUAGUGUGUAUGCAGUUUCAUUUGCAUAAAUUGUAAUAUUCUGUGAAUCUCAUUCUGUUUUGUACUUUUUUCAUUCUGCUCUGUUUUUAGAAGUGAUCCAUGUUGCUAUGUGUAUCUACUCCAUUGCCUUUAAAUGCUGCAUAAUACUCCACGGUGUUUGUCGAUCAUGUUUUACUCAUCUUUGCCCCCUAGUGGAAACCAUGAUGGCCUCCAACU